CCUACGGGCGGCUGCAGUGGGGAAUCUUGGACAAUGGGGGCAACCCUGAUCCAGCGAUGCCGCGUGAGUGAAGAAGGCCUUCGGGUCGUAAAGCUCUUUAGGUUGGGAGGAAGGCUAGUAUUUUAAGAGAUAACUAGUUUGACUGUACCGACAGAAUAAGCACCGGCAAACUCUGUGCCAGCAGCCGCGGUAAUACAGAGGGUGCUUACGUUAAUCGGAUUUACUGGGCGCAGUGAUUGGAGUGGCAUUUGAAAGCCCCGGGCUUAACCUGGGAAGAGCAUUGCAAACGAUAUGACUGGAGUAGUUGAGAGGGUGAUGGAAUUUCCGGUGUAGCGGUGAAAUGCGUAGAGAUCGGAAGGAACGUCAAUGGCGAAGGCAGUCACCUGGCAACAUACUGACGCUGAGGCACGAAAGCGUGGGUAGCGAACAGGAUUAGAUACCCUGGUAGUC
RNAcentral lists this ribosomal RNA (450 nucleotides) under uncultured bacterium. RNAcentral's name for it is "partial 16S ribosomal RNA". It matches the Rfam family "Bacterial small subunit ribosomal RNA", at positions 338 to 795 of the family's 1533-position model. The record is from RNAcentral.